UAGGGAAUCUUCGGCAAUGGACGAAAGUCUGACCGAGCAACGCCGCGCGAGUGAAGAAGGUUUUCGGAUCGUAAAACUCUGUUGUUAGAGAAGAACAAGGACGUUAGUAACUGAACGUCCCCUGACGGUAUCUAACCAGAAAGCCACGGCUAACUACGUGCCAGCAGCCGCGGUAAUACGUAGGUGGCAAGCGUUGUCCGGAUUUAUUGGGCGUAAAGCGAGCGCAGGCGGUUUCUUAAGUCUGAUGUGAAAGCCCCCGGCUCAACCGGGGAGGGUCAUUGGAAACUGGGGGACUUGAGUGCAGAAGAGGAGAGUGGAAUUCCAUGUGUAGCGGUGAGAUGCGUAGAUAUAUGGAGGAACACCAGUGACGAAGGCGGCUCUCUGGUCUGUAACUGACGCUGAGGCACGAAAGCGUGGGGAGCAAACAGG
Molecule: ribosomal RNA, 429 nt
Filed under: Gemmatimonadota bacterium
Lineage: Bacteria; Pseudomonadati; Gemmatimonadota
Description: Gemmatimonadetes bacterium partial 16S ribosomal RNA
Rfam family: Bacterial small subunit ribosomal RNA
Source: RNAcentral